This is a non-coding RNA of Prunus mume (Japanese apricot), 863 nucleotides long. The record is from RefSeq and is a predicted model, not a curated record. Lineage: Eukaryota; Viridiplantae; Streptophyta; Magnoliopsida; Rosales; Rosaceae.
CCUGCAAAUUUGAGCUUGAGAUUGAGAUUUGAAAGCCGAAGCAAGCACAAGUCAUGGGAACCCUAAAUACAAAAUUUGCUGACUUGGGGAUUAUUUUCUGUCUUAUGGCUGGAACUUUUGGUUUUGGCCAUGACUGGCUGGGUGAAGGAGCUUAUUAUUGUAACAAGAAUUUCAGAAAUUGAGAUCUCUGAGGACCAACAAUUGAUUGAUUAUGUCACAGCCCAAUGCAACAUUUCACUGGAGCAAGACACCCUGCUUGGUGUUGGCUGCAAUAGAAGCUUCCCUGUCAAUAUAAAUGACAUGAGCACUGAAUUACAGCCACAGCCUUUCCAGGCAAUGAGCAUGAAGGAAAUGAUCAUCUAAACAGUAAUCAUUUCCAGCAGCCGCCUGUUGUUUCCCCAGUGGAUCAUGAUUCGAAUGUGCCAUACAACAUAUCAGUUGAUUGAAUCCUUCUCUGCAGCACGUCUCCAAUGAAUGUCCUGCAACAUGUCACUUACAACUCAGAGAACAGCAUGAAGAAUGUCCUUGUUCUUGUGAGAAUUGAUAAUGCCCUUGUAUUUGAUAGAGGUCAUGUGUUGAGCUGAACACGAAUGACGGUCAAAAAUUUAAUCUUUUCUAUAUGGUUUUGCAUGUAUAGCUGAUGUUUUGUAUGAUUCUUAAUUGUAGAUAAAGGAUGGGAUUCCUUGCUUAGUACCAACAGAUGGCAAGACCCUCGAGGUCGAUGAUAAGACCAAUGAGUUUUUUGAAUUUGAAUCAGAGUCUUCAUCAUAGACAUUAUAUCUCCACACAUAGAGAGUGCCUUAUGAUCCCUGUUGGAUUGAACCCAUACACAUUUUAUGCAUUUCUUUGAACAGCUCCUCAUU